AGACUCCCUGAAAGUGCACGAACAAGAGCAUGGAGGAAUAUAUUUGUGGUGGUCAAGGGCUUUUAGUCCAGACAAAUCCAUCAUCGAGCAGCUGUCCAAGAAGCGUGCAGUAGCACUUCUGUGGUGAUGGUGAUGAUGAACUUAACAAUGGGUUGCCAAAGCUGUGUCCGCUGUUUUCCUGCCACAUUAGGAGGUCAGUCCCAAGAACACCCAGACGGGAAUUCCACCCUGGCUUAUCUCACUGGCCCAUCGACUGCCACCACCACGGAGGAGGAGUGGAGGGUCCUGACUGAGGGAAGGGUCAAAAGGGUAAGAGGGGUUGUCCUCUCCAGCCUGGAUUA
Phyllopteryx taeniolatus (common seadragon) is the source of this 341-nucleotide long non-coding RNA. RefSeq lists it as uncharacterized. The record is from RefSeq and is a predicted model, not a curated record. NCBI's taxonomy places the organism in Eukaryota, Metazoa, Chordata, Actinopteri, Syngnathiformes, Syngnathidae. The transcript has 3 exons.